RNAcentral lists this ribosomal RNA (759 nucleotides) under uncultured bacterium. Its description in RNAcentral is "bacterial SSU rRNA". It matches the Rfam family "Bacterial small subunit ribosomal RNA", at positions 59 to 801 of the family's 1533-position model. The record is from RNAcentral.
CAGUAGAACGCUGAAGAGAGGAGCUUGCUCUUCUUGGAUGAGUUGCCAACGGGUGAGUAACGCGUAGGUAACCUGCCUUGUAGCGGGGGAUAACUAUUGGAAACGAUAGCUAAUACCGCAUAACAAUGGAUGACACAUGUCAUUUAUUUGAAAGGGGCAAUUGCUCCACUACAAGAUGGACCUGCGUUGUAUUAGCUAGUAGGUGAGGUAACGGCUCACCUAGGCGACGAUACAUAGCCGGCCUGAGAGGGUGAUCGGCCACACUGGGACUGAGACACGGCCCAGACUCCUACGGGAGGCAGCAGUAGGGAAUCUUCGGCAAUGGGGGCAACCCUGACCGAGCAACGCCGCGUGAGUGAAGAAGGUUUUCGGAUCGUAAAGCUCUGUUGUAAGUCAAGAACGAGUGUGAGAGUGGAAAGUUCACACUGUGACGGUAGCUUACCAGAAAGGGACGGCUAACUACGUGCCAGCAGCCGCGGUAAUACGUAGGUCCCGAGCAUUGUCCGGAUUUAUUGGGCGUAAAGCGAGCGCAGGCGGUUUGAUAAGUCUGAAGUUAAAGGCUGUGGCUCAACCAUAGUUCGCUUUGGAAACUGUCAAACUUGAGUGCAGAAGGGGAGAGUGGAAUUCCAUGUGUAGCGGUGAAAUGCGUAGAUAUAUGGAGGAACACCGGUGGCGAAAGCGGCUCUCUGGUCUGUAACUGGCGCUGAGGCUCGAAAGCGUGGGGAGCGAACAGGAUUAGAUACCCUGGUAGUCCACGCC